UAUUAUUUUUGGAUGUUAAUGUUUUGCCUGAGUAGUAUUAGUUAUGUUCUUGAAACUUAAAGAAUUUGGCGGUAUCUUAUUCCGUUCAGAGGAACCUGUCUCGUUAUCGAUAGUCCGCGUUGGACCUUACUUAGUUGUUUAUUGGUUUGUAUACCGCCGUUUAUUGAUUAUCUUUUUAGAGUUGUUUAAUUUUCUUGUUCCUUUAUUUGGUUUAAUUUCAGGUCAAGGUGCAGCUUUCUCUAAGUGUAUUGGUGGGUUACAUUGUUAUUUGUUGUUUUUGGAUUGUUGGUUUUAAUUACUGGCAUGAAAUUGGAUUUGAUUGUAAUGUUUUGAAGAUUGUUUUUGUGAUAAUUGGUUCUGAGAUAUGUACACAUCGCCCGUCGCUCUCGUUUUAUUUGUUAAUGAG
Molecule: ribosomal RNA, 406 nt
Filed under: Reticulitermes kanmonensis
Lineage: Eukaryota; Metazoa; Arthropoda; Insecta; Blattodea; Rhinotermitidae
Description: partial 12S rRNA
Source: RNAcentral